Molecule: transfer RNA, 73 nt
Filed under: Candidatus Nanopelagicales bacterium
Lineage: Bacteria; Bacillati; Actinomycetota; Actinomycetes; Candidatus Nanopelagicales
Also listed under: 4 other names
Description: tRNA-Val
Rfam family: tRNA
About the family: Transfer RNA (tRNA) molecules are approximately 80 nucleotides in length.
Source: RNAcentral
GGGCGAUUAGCUCAGCGGUUAGAGCGCUCGCUUCACACGCGAGAGGUCACAGGUUCGAUCCCCGUAUCGCCCA